RNAcentral lists this long non-coding RNA (341 nucleotides) under Serinus canaria (Common canary). Its description in RNAcentral is "lncRNA (ENSSCAG00000009351.1)". The record is from RNAcentral. Lineage: Eukaryota; Metazoa; Chordata; Aves; Passeriformes; Fringillidae.
CAAAUAGCUCCUCAGGUCAGCUCUCUGUGUAUUAUGGCUGCUAAAGAAGGUAGCUGCAAAAAAUUUCAGAGACUUCUUUAAGGUGUAUUCUUUUAUCCCAGGCCCCCUGAUCGUUGAUAUUGCACUUUAAAGAUUUUUACAUUCUUUUGCAGGUGCUUCUAACAUGACACAACCUCAGGCAUUGGUGGAAAUUUCUCUUUUGAGGGGGUUCUGGCAGUCAUCUCUAUGUCAAGUUUUCAAACCGUACCCACCUUGGGAUUCCUGUUGCCACUUGGAAAGAUUCUCAGGAUGGUGCCUGCCACAAAGACCUUGGGAACCACAGGAUAAUAUCAAAGGUGAGU